AGCAGCCGCGGUAAUUCCAGCUCCAAUAGCGUAUAUUAAAGUUGUUGCAGUUAAAAAGCUCGUAGUUGAAUUUCGGGAUCAAUAUGUUGGUCGUGCCUUGGUACGUACUAUCUUAUUGGUUUCUCCCUUCUGACGAACCAUGAUGUCAUUAAUUUGAUGUCUUGGGGAAUCAGGACUGUUACUUUGAAAAAUUAGAGUGUUUAAAGCAGGCUCACGCUUGAAUAUAUUAGCAUGGAAUAAUGAAAUAGGACGUUUGAUUCUAUUUUGUUGGUUUCUAGGAUCGAUGUAAUGAUUAAUAGGGAUAGUUGGGGGCAUUAGUAUUCAAUUGUCAGAGGUGAAAUUCUUGGAUUUAUUGAAGACUAACUACUGCGAAAGCAUUUGCCAAGGAUGUUUUCAUUAAUCAAGAACGAAAGUUAGGGGAUCGAAGACGAUCAGAUACCGUCGUAGUCU
Molecule: ribosomal RNA, 450 nt
Filed under: uncultured Glomus
Lineage: Eukaryota; Fungi; Glomeromycota; Glomeromycetes; Glomerales; Glomeraceae
Description: SSU rRNA
Rfam family: Eukaryotic small subunit ribosomal RNA
Source: RNAcentral